UUUAAAACCAGAUGGCAGUGCUAACAUCCUUAUGAUUUAAUCCUAAAUGAGCCUUGAUGCUGAAUUAGCCUCUCUGUAACCUUUCUGUCACAAAACAGGCAGACGGCUGGUUCCGAAUGCAGCAGGUUUAUUAGCUGAGCUAAAAGUCUACAAAGCGAAAUCAGGGGCAGGCAGUACGGGGUCAAUAUCGAGCAUGGGAGCUUCAAAGAAACAAUGAAAAUAGUCAGGAUCCAGACGAGAGUCGGGGCAGGCGGCAGGCAAACGGAAUCAGAGACAAAACAGGGUCAGGAUAUCAGAAGAUCAGGGGCCUCAUUUAUAAACGUUGCGUACGCACAAAAGAAGGCGUACGCCACUCUCUACGCAAUAGUUGAGAUUUAUAAAAAGCAAACUUGACGGGAAAAUGUGCGGUCCUUCACGCAAGCUCUGACCCAGGCGUACGCACAAAAACAGGUGAAAUGAGAAACGGCGACACCGUCGGCAGAUGGAAGAAACACGUGAAAGUGACAGUGUGUGCCAAAUCCUGCUGGCAUCUGCUGUUCUACACAAUGUGGCACAGCUUAAAAACGUGCCUCUACCCCCUGGCGCUGAUUGCUGUGUUGGCCCCGACCCUGAACCCCAUCCCCACGCAUUUGAGCCAAAUGCUGCUGCUGUGCGCCAGCGUUUGGAAGAUAUGCGUCGCUUGUAAAGAACAACAAAAGGACUGCAUCGGUGAGGACACGUCCACUGCUGGAGGGUUGAGAGCCGCGUGCCGUGGAGACGCUGGGUCCAGACGGCUGCUCGGCUGCAGCAUCGUAACCACUGGCCCCGCUGGAACACCCAGCAACUAAAAUAAAAUUGUUCUAUAUUAAUAAUCUGUAAUUGUGUAGCCUGCAUACAUGUGACUUGACUGCAUUCAUUUUAAUUAUUUCUCUUACCUGUGUCACCCGGUGCGUCUUGCGCGUCAGUCAGGUGACUGAGGCGGAGGGGGACGCCGAUAAGGGGGACCUAAUAGGGAUUCCCCAAUAAUAGCCGCCAGUCUCUCAUCAAGACGGGUCAGCUCCGGUGUCCCCCCCCCCCGUGGCAGAAACACUCUGCCGAUGCAGUGCCAGACGUUCUUUUGCCUCGACUUUGAUGUCCGACCAUUUCUUUUUUAUUUCGGCCACGGUCCGAGGUUGUGAGGCUACAGCAUUUACGGCGUCUGCCACCGUUUGCCGCUCACGUGCCUUUUUGGCAUUAGUAAUGCCGACUGUGCCCUCCAAACAACACUUUCUCCUCUUUUCCACCUCGCCAACGAUAACUUCUACUUCACAUUGAGUGAAGUUACGGUUUUUUGAUUUCCUCUCUGUGUUUGCCAAGAUUUAGCAAGCCAUGAAUAUUAAUUUGUGGGCGUUUCACGGACUAUUUAUGGGCAACUAUAGGCGUGUCAUGUAGCCGCAAAAGCUGCGCUGCAUUUAGAAUCAGUUGUGAUUUAUAAAGGGAAAGAUGCGUAGGAUGUGCGUGCGCACGGUUUUAUAAAUCCGAAUAUUUCUGUGCGUACGCACGUCCUAUGUUUCAUCCGUACGCCACUUCUGACGCAAAUCCUACGCAAAGUUUUAUAAAUGAGGCCCCAGGUCCGGAUGUGACACUCGGCAAUGUAGGUAGAGUGGCAAAUAACGUUUUUUUGUUUUUGUUUUUUGCACUGAGUGAGGCUCAGUGUAGUCCUUAAGUGUACUGUGAGUGAUUGCAAAUGAAAGUCAGGUGUGCAGCAUCCAGGAACUCUGCACUGGGCUUGCUGGGAGAUGUAGUACAGUACAUGCAGAACUCUGGAGAUGAUUCCUGCUGAUGAACAGAGGGGGGCUCUGACUUUUGACACUUUCACCUUCAGAGAACAUUUAGAAUACUGUUACACCAAAAAGAG
Long non-coding RNA from Oryzias sinensis (Chinese medaka), 1876 nucleotides. NCBI's taxonomy places the organism in Eukaryota, Metazoa, Chordata, Actinopteri, Beloniformes, Adrianichthyidae. The record is from Ensembl.